GCUCAGGACGAACGCUGGCGGCGUGCCUAAUACAUGCAAGUGGAACGCACUUACAUCACCGGAGCUUGCUCCACCGAUGUAAGUGAGUCGCGAACGGGUGAGUAACGCGUAGGUAACCUGCCUCAUAGCGGGGGAUAACUAUUGGAAACGAUAGCUAAUACCGCAUAACAGUAUUUACCGCAUGGUAGAUGCUUGAAAGGAGCAACUGCUUCACUAUGAGAUGGACCUGCGUUGUAUUAGCUAGUUGGUGGGGUAACGGCUCACCAAGGCAUCGAUACAUAGCCGACCUGAGAGGGUGAUCGGCCACACUGGGACUGAGACACGGCCCAGACUCCUACGGGAGGCAGCAGUAGGGAAUCUUCGGCAAUGGGGGGAACCCUGACCGAGCAACGCCGCGUGAGUGAAGAAGGUUUUCGGAUCGUAAAGCUCUGUUGUAAGAGNAGAACAGUGAGAAGAGUGGAAAGUUCUCACA
RNAcentral lists this ribosomal RNA (472 nucleotides) under uncultured Streptococcus sp. RNAcentral describes it as "bacterial SSU rRNA". It matches the Rfam family "Bacterial small subunit ribosomal RNA", at positions 22 to 469 of the family's 1533-position model. Lineage: Bacteria; Bacillati; Bacillota; Bacilli; Lactobacillales; Streptococcaceae. The record is from RNAcentral.